Molecule: non-coding RNA, 1293 nt
Organism: Microcebus murinus (gray mouse lemur)
Lineage: Eukaryota; Metazoa; Chordata; Mammalia; Primates; Cheirogaleidae
Source: RefSeq, a predicted model, not a curated record
UUUGGUAAUGUACAGGGACUUCUUUGAUUGUCUCGACUAAAGGAAAUGACUCAGAAAUGCAAUGGAGGAAGCCUGAGAAUGACUCAAACUUCCCUAAUCAUAAAAGGCACUUCAGACAUGGACCUUAAUGUCAAACCAGAACUCAUGAUCACUGAGUGACUUUCCUUUGUAUUUCUGAGUAGGUGGUAUCUGCAUAGGGUGACUUUAGCAACAGUAAGUUGCCUCUCCCAAACAACUUCCCCCUUAAGUCUGCUAAUGUUUGAAUUUCUACUAUGAGAGUUUGUCUCCAGUUAAAAAUGUAGGUCUAUGGGAGGGCUCUGGCAUCCGGGAUGGAGACGCAUUGUUUUCUGUGGCUGGAGUUGGAGCCACCUUGGGUCGCCGGCCAGGGCAGCGGAGAUGGUAGGUAGAGGCCAGGGUGGAAUGGGACAGGAGAUGCCGAGUAGGGGCUGAGGCGGCUCGGGACGUGGAAGCGCAUGAGUCCUCAAGCUCUGAGCUCCAGACCCGGCCGCGCAGCCGCCGCCGGGGCCGAAGAGCAAGAACCCUUUCACUCGCGCGCAGGACUGGCGGCGGCGGCGGCGGAACAAGAUGGUCCUCACGUAUGUGGCCGCAGCCCGCAGGCUAGGGGCGUCCUAUGCCGCCGUGCCCCUAUAUCGCCUUUACUGCCAGACUACCGGACUUGGGAGAUCAGCAGUUGCAGGUCAUGCAUCAGAUCAGAUUGAAAACAUGGUGCCUGUUAAGGAUCGAAUAAUUAAAGUUACCUUUAAUGCAGGUGUGCAUGCAAGUCUUCAGUGGAACUUUAGACCUCAGCAAACAGAAAUAUAUGUGGUGCCAGGAGAGACUGCACUGGCAUUUUAUAAAGCUAAGAAUCCUACUGACAAACCAGUAAUUGGAAUUUCUACAUACAACGUUGUUCCAUUUGAAGCUGGGCAGUAUUUCAAUAAAAUACAGUGCUUCUGUUUUGAAGAACAAAGGCUUAAUCCCCAAGAGGAAGUAGAUAUGCAGUGUUUUUCUACAUUGAUCCUGAAUUUGCUGAAGAUCCAAAAAUGGUGAAUGUCGAUCUCAUCACGCUUUCUUAUACUUUUUUUGAAGCAAAAGAAGGAUACAAAUUGCCAGUUCCAGGCUAUAAUUGAUGUCAGCAACUAAGUCCUGCUUCAAAUUUGUGAUUUUUGAAAAAUCAUGUAUCCUGCUUUCUUAAAGGAGAAAUAUUCUACAAUAAUGUGAACCCUAUUUUAAAUGGUUCUACCUGUUUUUUUCCUUUGAUUUGCCCCACUUAAAAGCUGAACCUGUUCUCAA